GUAUUUGUUUUGGCAGCACAUAUACUAAAAUUGGAAUGAUACAGAGAAGAUUAGCAUGGCCCCUGUACAAGGAUGACACACAAAUUGGUGAAGUGUUCCAUAUUUUU
Molecule: small nuclear RNA, 107 nt
Organism: Heterocephalus glaber (naked mole-rat)
Lineage: Eukaryota; Metazoa; Chordata; Mammalia; Rodentia; Bathyergidae
Source: Ensembl